UCUGAACGCUGCCCGAGCCCCACUGUUCUCUCCCCUAAAUUAUCUCCGAAAGGGCCUCUUGGGAACAAGUCUGUGGCUCACUCCCUAGACACUAUCUCGAGGCAUUAAAGAACCCGGUAUAUAUUUUAAAGUAGAACUCCCCGCUGAGCCGGUGAGCUCGUUGGCACCAAGGCAACCUGGUGGAAGGUGUCCCUGCCCAUGGCAGGAGAUGGGACAAGAUGAUCUUUAAGGUCCUUCUAACCCAAACCGUUCCGUGAUUCUAAUAAAUUCCGGCAUACAGGUUAUAGGGAGCUACUAUCAAGUUGCAACAUGAUGGAUCCAUUAUCAUGAAUAGACAGUGUCUCAGAUGAGGAGGACAGAAAAAGUUUGCGGCGGCGAAGGACAGAAGGAAAAGGAAUUCAAGAUUUUUCAAAACAGGUGCCAAGAAGCAGACUUUCUUUCCUUGCUGCAGACAGCAGAUCAAACUCUGGAAAAGAAAAACUGGCCUUCUUUUAGCCUGUUUGAACGCCGAGGCAUUGGCUGAGUUUGGCAGUAGUUCCCCAUCUCUGCUGUAUCCCAACUAUCCCUCCAGCGCUGUCGUGGGAAAAGUGUUUCUGCAAAUGCUCAUUUCUGGCAAAACGCACGGAUGCAAAGUUAGGGACAGUUGUGAAUGACAUCUAACCAAGAAAUGGAGCUCAGACAGGAGGAAACACUGGAGAAGGAAAUUAAAGAAGGAGAAGGUCUGUUAAAGAACAGUUCCAACGAUUUGGAUGUGCCACAGAAACAUCCCUGUCCCUGCCACUGUGUAUCUCACUGGAAGAAACUACGCUGUGGUCUCUGUGGCAGUUCAGUUGGUUUAUAUGGACGAGCAGGAACACGAGGAAGAGGCGCUCAAAGCUCCCUGUGAAAGGCAAAUGAAGCCACUGGUCAUUAGCCUGGUGCCCCUUCCAGUUCCUUGGGAAUCUGUACAUUCCUAAUGCCUCCAAUGUAAUGUGUGUGUCCUGUGACCAAUAAAGUGUGUUCUUUGUGCUCCCUGGCAGAUGUGCAGGUUCAGGCAGCACGUGCAGGUGUUUUUGGGGCUGGCUCGUGUGGGAUGAGGAGAGGUGGGAGCCUGUGGCUUGACAGGAAAAAGAAAAACAGGAGAAAAAAGAAUCUGAACAAUGUGUUGAAAAAGACUCCAGUCAGAGCUGCUCAGGACCAGCUGUUUUUUUCUAAUUAGAAUAACAAAAAUAGCACAUGCUAAAAUGUUUUUUGUUUUUUUCUCAAAAGCCAUGAAUGCUUUAGGAACUAUAAGGAAAGAGCUCUAAAACCUAUUUAAAUGAAGGAAUGUUUCAGGAGCCAUAUGGAGAAGAAAAAGAAAAGGCGAAAGUAGAGAAAUGUUUUAUUUUUAGCUAAAUCUGAAGCAUUUCGAUUCUUCAUCCAAUGUUACACAGAAAUUGUCUUACUUCUAAACUUCCAAAAAUGUCAGUGCUGAUGCUUAUUGUAUCAUGGCUUAAAGGAGACAGUUAAAAUACUCGGUGCCUUUCAGUGGGCUGUUCUUCCAGGCACUGGAAAUUUGAAAAUUCCAUUCCGUGCCCUGAACACGCAUUGAGAUAUAUUCCUAAGAUCUGUCUGUGCUCUGGUAAUGUACGAGAGCUGCACGUAAUGAAGGAUGUGACAAACACUCAAAACUCACCCUGUAUCAUCAGUCUUUGCUCCUCUUUUUUCUUCUUUUCCCCCCCCCCCUUUUCCUGAAGCGCUGAUGAUUCAAAACUUUGACUACAGGAAUAACAUUUGUAACAGCUCUGGCAUUCUGGACAUCUGCACUGCUCGAGUACUUCAGAAUAAAGUCACAUGGCCAUGGGGAAAUUUCACAGAAUUCAAAUCACAGGGACUUGCCAAGGUGUAUAACGAGUUUGUUUUCAGCUGUUCUCCUCAUGAAUAAUUACCAGGCAGGCAUAUCCUAAAGCGAGCACAAGCUGUCAUUUCACCAGAAAUAUUCAAUAUUUAAAACAGAAUUUCGAAUUUAGAAUUUCAUAAAUGAAAAUAAUUAACAGCCCAGGCAAAACAGCCCAGUCCAAGUGCUGUCAGGUACCUCCUGCCUUUCCAGGAGGCUUCCCAGGACCAGCACGUUGGAGCCACAUUAAAUUAUUUUUUUCAAUGUAAAGAAAAUUAUGCAAAUGUAAAGGGAAUUGCAAGUAUCUUUUUUUUUUUCUCCCCUAGAACUAAUACUUUGCUAUCAUUUUACUGACUGUUCCUUUACCGAGCACAGGAGGAUCCCAAGGCUUCCAUCUGUUUUAGUCCCUUCGGAUCAAAGCUGCUCGUGGGUUCUUUUCCACCACCAUACACAGGAGCCAACAGCAGUGCAGAGCUGGACAGGAAGGAUGAGAGGGGGGGAUAAGAUGCAAGGGAUGGGAUGCACUAGACCUCAAAGCCUUCCUUAGACCCUUUACUCCCAUGCAGGUCCCUAACUGGAAGCUCAGACCUGUGCUGUUCCUUUGGGAGAAGUUGGGAAGAACUCCUGGCAGAGGGAGAAGGGACCAUGGGAACACGAGCAGCUCCAAGGGUCUCACUGCCCCUCCGACAGCUUCCAGAUCAGCUGUGACCUCUCUGUUAUUCCAGCAAAUAUCUGCUCACAUCCCUGGGUUUUCUGCUUUUGCAUCCCAGGGGGGAUGAAAAAAGGGGAGAUUGGGAGCCAAGAGAAAAGCACCCUCGCCUUUCACACAGGGCUUAAUGUUGGCACGUUAUUGGAACGUUAUGAAAAUCUUUAUUGGAGCUUGAAUAAUGCCCUGAAAUAGAUAUUGUGCUGGUUAAUAAAUUACAUUUUCAAAUGA
Molecule: long non-coding RNA, 2792 nt
Organism: Lepidothrix coronata (blue-crowned manakin)
Lineage: Eukaryota; Metazoa; Chordata; Aves; Passeriformes; Pipridae
Exons: 5
Source: RefSeq, a predicted model, not a curated record